This 492-nucleotide ribosomal RNA is filed under the name uncultured bacterium. Its description in RNAcentral is "partial 16S ribosomal RNA". It matches the Rfam family "Bacterial small subunit ribosomal RNA", at positions 29 to 507 of the family's 1533-position model. The record is from RNAcentral.
AGUGAACGCUGGCGGUAGGCCUAACACAUGCAAGUCGAACGGCAGCACAGUAAGAGCUUGCUCUUACGGGUGGCGAGUGGCGGACGGGUGAGGAAUACAUCGGAAUCUACUUUUUCGUGGGGGAUAACGUAGGGAAACUUACGCUAAUACCGCAUACGACCUACGGGUGAAAGCAGGGGAUCUUCGGACCUUGCGCGAUUGAAUGAGCCGAUGUCGGAUUAGCUAGUUGGCGGGGUAAAGGCCCACCAAGGCGACGAUCCGUAGCCGGUCUGAGAGGAUGAUCAGCCACACUGGAACUGAGACACGGUCCAGACUUCUACGGGAGGCAGCAGUGGGGAAUAUUGGACAAUGGGCGCAAGCCUGAUCCAGCCAUACCGCGUGGGUGAAGAAGGCCUUCGGGUUGUAAAGCCCUUUUGUUGGGAAAGAAAAGCAGCAGGUUAAUACCCCGCUGUUCUGACGGUACCCAAAGAAUAAGCACCGGCUAACUUCGUG